Molecule: long non-coding RNA, 231 nt
Organism: Mastomys coucha (southern multimammate mouse)
Lineage: Eukaryota; Metazoa; Chordata; Mammalia; Rodentia; Muridae
Exons: 3
Source: RefSeq, a predicted model, not a curated record
AGAGAGAGAGAAUUCAGCACAGCGCAUUUAAACUAACUCUUUGGCUUUCUGGGAAGGUCUCCAUCUCUUACAAAGCCAAGUUUUGAUGAGGAGUGAGAAUCACAUUUAUUUCCAGAGUGGGAAGAGAACAUAAAGGUCAUGCCUUAAGAAGUAGACCACAAUAGCUUAUUGAAUUCUCAGAAAAUAAAUGGAGUGAGGGAAAUGCUCUGAACUGGGAAAAUGCUUAUAUAA